This 621-nucleotide ribosomal RNA is filed under the name Leucosporidiales sp. MS-3. RNAcentral's name for it is "LSU rRNA". It matches the Rfam family "Eukaryotic large subunit ribosomal RNA", at positions 38 to 656 of the family's 3401-position model. The record is from RNAcentral. Lineage: Eukaryota; Fungi; Basidiomycota; Microbotryomycetes; Leucosporidiales.
GCAUAUCAAUAAGCGGAGGAAAAGAAACUAACAAGGAUUCCCCUAGUAACGGCGAGUGAAGCGGGAAGAGCUCAAAUUUGUAAUCUGGCACUUUCAGUGUCCGAGUUGUAAUCUCGAGAAGUAUUUUCCGCGCCGGACCGCAUACAAGUCUGUUGGAAUACAGCGUCAUAGUGGUGAGAGCCCCGUAACUGAUGCGGAUGCCCGGUGCUUUGUGAUAUACUUUCGAAGAGUCGAGUUGUUUGGGAAUGCAGCUCAAAUUGGGUGGUAAAUUCCAUCUAAAGCUAAAUAUUGGAGCAAGACCGAUAGCGAACAAGUACCGUGAGGGAAAGAUGAAAAGCACUUUGGAAAGAGAGUUAACAGUACGUGAAAUUGUUGGAAGGGAAACGCUUGAAGUCAGACUUGCUAUUCGGAGUUCAGCCGCAAGGUGUAUUCUUCGAUUUGCAGGCCAGCAUCAGUUUUUGGGGAUGGAAAAUCGCGGUUUGAAGGUAGCAGUUUCGGCUGUGUUAUAGCUUUCCGCUGGAUUCAUCCUUGGGGACUGAGGAACGCAGUACGCUUUUUGCAAGGCCCUCGGGCUUUUCGUACUUAGGAUGCUGGUGGAAUGGCUUUAAACGACCCGUCUUG